GUCCACGCCCUAAACGAUGUCAACUGGUUGUUGGGUCUUUACUGACUCAGUAACGAAGCUAACGCGUGAAGUUGACCGCCUGGGGAGUACGGCCGCAAGGUUGAAACUCAAAGGAAUUGACGGGACCCGCACAAGCGGUGGAUGAUGUGGUUUAAUUCGAUGCAACGCGAAACCUUACCCACCUUUGACAUGUACGGAACCCUUUAGAGAUAGAGGGGUGCUCGAAAGAGAUCCGUAACACAGGUGCUGCAUGGCUGUCGU
RNAcentral lists this ribosomal RNA (261 nucleotides) under uncultured bacterium. Its description in RNAcentral is "partial 16S ribosomal RNA". It matches the Rfam family "Bacterial small subunit ribosomal RNA", at positions 793 to 1055 of the family's 1533-position model. The record is from RNAcentral.